Molecule: non-coding RNA, 733 nt
Organism: Manis javanica (Malayan pangolin)
Lineage: Eukaryota; Metazoa; Chordata; Mammalia; Pholidota; Manidae
Source: RefSeq, a predicted model, not a curated record
UCACGUCACCUUCCGCUCGGCGAGAUCGUCGACACCGGGGCGGGCUCGGUGGGCGGGGCCUACUGCAGAGGCGGGGUCUACGAGCGCCCCGCCCCCCGCCCUCGCCAGCUGGCCGCGGGGGGAAGGCUUCCAUCUCCUGAGGAAAAGGCGACUGCGCAGCGCGCCGUCUCCUCACCCAGGUCGCCGCUUUGAGAGAAUUAAAAGAAUAAUGUAUAAAGUACUUAACAGUGACACAUAGGACUCAAUAAAUGGUAAUUAUGAAUAUUAUUGGCUGAUGUACCACCUUCUUAUCUUCUUGCUGAAGGAAAAUUACUUCGCAACUAAAAAAGGGAAGAAGGGAGCAAGGCCGGUGAUGAGAGAGAAGGAACACCACAACAUCAAAUUCUCCCCAUCAAGAAGAAUCCCUACUGAGGACUACUUGCUCCGGACCAGGGCAAAUGGAGAAUUUUAGGAUUGGCCUCUACCGCUGACAACUGCCACUUACUGUUGCCACUGUUUUUACUUUUACUUCUUGUACUAUCAUGGGCUUUGUAUGCCUGUGAGAAAGGGUAUGAGAAUGGGAGAAGAAAAAAGAGAUGCUGGGAAACAGAGAUAAAGAGAAACAACUAGAUAUUGAGACUGCUUUUGUCAUUACAAUGAUUCAUAUAUUGUAAGCUUCAAUGACAUUCAGUAAAAGUAACAUAAAUUAUACAAAAUAAUCUAUUUUAGAACCUAAAUAGAUCCUUUCAAAGAG